RNAcentral lists this ribosomal RNA (372 nucleotides) under Lynceus macleayanus. Its description in RNAcentral is "partial large subunit ribosomal RNA". It matches the Rfam family "Bacterial large subunit ribosomal RNA", at positions 1932 to 2533 of the family's 2925-position model. Lineage: Eukaryota; Metazoa; Arthropoda; Branchiopoda; Diplostraca; Lynceidae. The record is from RNAcentral.
CGCGGUAAUUUGACCGUGCUAAGAGUAGCAUAAUCAUUUCGUCUUUUAAUUGAAGACUGGAAUGAAAGGUUUAACAAGAAAUUUGCUGUCUUAAAAAAUAAAAUUGAAUUUUAUUUUUUAGUGAAAAAGCUAAAAUAAUUUUGUGGGACGAUAAGACCCUAUAGAUCUUAAUUAUUUAGAGUGAUUAACUUUUAAACAUAAUUUUAUUGGGGCGAUAGCAAGAAAAGAAUAUCUCUUAAAACUUAGAAAUACUGAUAAGUAAAUUGGUAAAUGAUCCUAGAAGAUAGGUUAUUAGAAUAAGUUACCUUAGGGAUAACAGCGUAAUAUUUUUUUAGAGUUCUUAUCGAAAAAAAUGUUUGCGACCUCGAUGUU